Molecule: ribosomal RNA, 471 nt
Filed under: uncultured bacterium
Lineage: Bacteria
Description: bacterial SSU rRNA
Rfam family: Bacterial small subunit ribosomal RNA
Source: RNAcentral
UGGGGAAUUGUUCACAAUGGGCGCAAGCCUGAUGACGCAACGCCGCGUGGAGGAUGAAGGUCUUCGGAUUGUAAACUCCUGUUGCCCGGGACGAAAAGCUUCGACCUAACACGUCGAAGUCUGACGGUACCGAGUGAGGAAGCCCCGGCUAACUCUGUGCCAGCAGCCGCGGUAAUACAGAGGGGGCAAGCGUUGUUCGGAAUUACUGGGCGUAAAGGGCGCGUAGGUGGCCUUCUAAGUCGAACGUGAAAUCCCUGGGCUCAACCCAGGAACUGCGUCCGAGACUGGGAGGCUUGAAUCCGGGAGAGGGAUGCGGAAUUCCAGGUGUAGCGGUGAAAUGCGUAGAUAUCUGGAGGAACACCGGUGGCGAAGGCGGCAUCCUGGACCGGUAUUGACACUGAGGCGCGAAAGCCAGGGGAGCAAACGGGAUUAGAUACCCAGGUAGUCCCUGAGCGGGCUGGCAAGGCGCAU